AGAAAGGUGACUGAGAGGCUUAAGGUGCUCCGUUGCUACCGGAGUGCAGGUGAAAGCCUGCCAAGGGUUCGAAUCCCUUCCUUUCUGCCA
RNAcentral lists this transfer RNA (90 nucleotides) under Alteromonadaceae bacterium M269. Its description in RNAcentral is "tRNA-Ser". It matches the Rfam family "tRNA". From Rfam's summary of the family: Transfer RNA (tRNA) molecules are approximately 80 nucleotides in length. Their secondary structure includes four short double-helical elements and three loops (D, anti-codon, and T loops). Further hydrogen bonds mediate the characteristic L-shaped molecular structure. tRNAs have two regions of fundamental functional importance: the anti-codon, which is responsible for specific mRNA codon recognition, and the 3' end, to which the tRNAs corresponding amino acid is attached (by aminoacyl-tRNA synthetases). tRNAs cope with the degeneracy of the genetic code in two manners: having more than one tRNA (with a specific anti-codon) for a particular amino acid; and 'wobble' base-pairing, i.e. permitting non-standard base-pairing at the 3rd anti-codon position. The record is from RNAcentral. Lineage: Bacteria; Pseudomonadati; Pseudomonadota; Gammaproteobacteria; Alteromonadales; Alteromonadaceae.